RNAcentral lists this transfer RNA (93 nucleotides) under Armillaria borealis. Its description in RNAcentral is "tRNA-Asp". It matches the Rfam family "tRNA". From Rfam's summary of the family: Transfer RNA (tRNA) molecules are approximately 80 nucleotides in length. Their secondary structure includes four short double-helical elements and three loops (D, anti-codon, and T loops). The record is from RNAcentral. Lineage: Eukaryota; Fungi; Basidiomycota; Agaricomycetes; Agaricales; Physalacriaceae.
UCUCUGGUAGUAUAUCGGUUAGUACACGCGCCUGUCAUGUGAAUAGUAGUGAUGGGUUCGCGCGAAAGCUGGGUUCGACUCCCAGCCAGAGAG